RNAcentral lists this ribosomal RNA (506 nucleotides) under uncultured bacterium. Its description in RNAcentral is "partial 16S ribosomal RNA". It matches the Rfam family "Bacterial small subunit ribosomal RNA", at positions 29 to 523 of the family's 1533-position model. The record is from RNAcentral.
AGUGAACGCUGGCGGUAGGCCUAACACAUGCAAGUCGAACGGCAGCACAGGAGAGCUUGCUCUCUGGGUGGCGAGUGGCGGACGGGUGAGGAAUACAUCGGAAUCUACCUUUUCGUGGGGGAUAACGUAGGGAAACUUACGCUAAUACCGCAUACGACCUUCGGGUGAAAGCAGGGGACCUUCGGGCCUUGCGCGGAUAGACGAGCCGAUGUCGGAUUAGCUAGUUGGCGGGGUAAAGGCCCACCAAGGCGACGAUCCGUAGCUGGUCUGAGAGGAUGAUCGGCCACACUGGAACUGAGACACGGUCCAGACCCCUACGGGAGGCAGCAGUGGGGAAUAUUGGACAAUGGGCGCAAGCCUGAUCCAGCCAUACCGCGUGGGUGAAGAAGGCCUUCGGGUUGUAAAGCCCUUUUGUUGGGAAAGAAAAGCAACCGGUUAAUACCUGGUUGUUCUGACGGUACCCAAAGAAUAAGCACCGGCUAACUUCGUGCCAGCCGCCGCCGUAA